UGUGGGGAUCUCAUGCAUGGUAAUAACUACAUGUAUAUACAACUUGCAUCCUUGGCACAAAGUUAUUAUAUUCUACUCAAUCCAUAGGCGUCAUUAAUGUCAUCCAGACUGUUUUGAAGUUGAUACAACUGGCUAUGAUAGGCUCCUGAGUGGCGCAGUGGUCUAAGACACUGCAUCCCAGUGCAAGAGGCGUCACCGCAGAACCUGGUUCGAAUCCAUCACAUCUGGCCUUGAUUGGAAGUCCCAUAGGGCGGCCCAGCGUCGCAGGGUAUUUUUGUCAGCCAUCUUUGUUGAAGAAAGUCUCCAGCCUUGGGUCGUAUAGCGUCAAAUUCGUCAUGGGAACCACUCGAUAUGAUUGGUCAUCGCCCAGCGGUCGCCGUUGUAAAAAGUUAAACUUUUUCACCGCCUCUCUCGCCACCUUCGUACCGCCCAAAGGUCCCCGAUUGAAAUGAAAGGGAAGCGGUGUUCCACCGCGCGGCAACCUGUUCUAGUGUAUCAUGCCCGAGUCUGCCCCAGAUCGUUCCCUUAGAGACGAUGAAAAUAAUUAACAAGAUGUUCUUGAUCUGAUUGAGGAAGAUUCAUGAAUGAAACCGGGGAUGCAGUAAAGAGGUUCUCUGACCAAUUAUCCGCCACCUCCCUCAUGACCUGGAAAAAUAGACUGACUCUCGAUAGGUUACGGGCAAAGAGGGCGGUGUAAGUAGAAUGAUUAGGUUCAUUACUGUACGUACAUUUCUGAUAACACAGCUCAUGUUUGGGAAAUGGAAAAGUGUUGCAAGAACUGUAUUAUGGGCUGCUUUCACCUGUAUGAGUGUGUUUGGGUUGUGUGGUUGUUGUUUGGUCCCGUGUGCGAGAGGUUUAAUCACCAGAACUCUAGAGAGAUGGACAACGGAGCAGAUGGUGAGCUACGGACCGAGUCAAAGUUCAGACCAAUGAGACAAGUACCUACUGCCGAGCAAGCCCUAUUGAGACUUGACAAGCUAUCUGCUGAGAUGAAGGGUGAAGCAGGGGUAGACGAGGGAAAUUGGAUGAAUUUCUUUUUUGGCAAGUACACAUCUAUGGUGGUUACUGGAAUUCUGACCCUAGUACUUGUGUUCCUAUUAUUGAUAUGUUGUGCUGCCUGUAUAAUCCCUUGCAUAAGAAAGUCUCUUACAGAAGUUGUCAGAGCAAACCGGAAUGAUGCCUUUGAUGGAACUGACCCCGGAGAACACUAAAUCCAGCUCUGGGCCAAAGAUGGAUCUGUCAGAGGAUGAUCCUUGUUUUACUGUUGAGGAAGUGGUUGAAUAAAGCGUAUGCACA
RNAcentral lists this long non-coding RNA (1296 nucleotides) under Salmo salar (Atlantic salmon). RNAcentral's name for it is "lncRNA (ENSSSAG00000096471.1)". Lineage: Eukaryota; Metazoa; Chordata; Actinopteri; Salmoniformes; Salmonidae. The record is from RNAcentral.